This is a small nucleolar RNA of Cebus imitator (Panamanian white-faced capuchin), 129 nucleotides long. RefSeq annotates it as small nucleolar RNA SNORA48. The record is from RefSeq and is a predicted model, not a curated record. The transcript has a single exon. NCBI's taxonomy places the organism in Eukaryota, Metazoa, Chordata, Mammalia, Primates, Cebidae.
CAUAAUUGAUUUAAAAAAAAAAGCUUGAUAGUGCCCGUCUCAUAUCAGCCAGGAACAAAGCAACCCCUUGCUUAUCCCAGCUUGGCUUUCAGUGUAUGCCCACUCCUGGUUUAUGAUUUGGACACAUAG